CCCACUGGCCCUAGUCAACCAGUCCUCAACCCCUCUCCUACUACAGGAGAGGACMUGACUCACUGCUGUACACCAAUGAAGCACUCGAUCGCCUCCUCACAAAGGGAACUGUUCUUGUAAAUCUAGAGCCUUACCCAGCCUUUGACACCCGACCUUAGAGAGUGUGGAGAGAUGCCUGCAAAGGUGCUUCGUACGAACUGAUCCCCAAAGGACUUUUCUGGAAAAAAUCCUCUUUACGACUUUAAGAAUGGAAGUAUCAACCUUUGAUUUGUAUUUUAUGGUGUGUUCUGUAUAUUGUGCUGUGACUUUUUGAUUCUUUAAUACUUAUAUAUGAUCUUGCCAAGGCAUGGUACUAGUUACCCUAGCCCAUUCGGUGUUGGGUUAAAUGCAGAAGACACAUUUCAGUUGAAAGCAUUCAGUUGUACAACUGACUAGGUAUCCCCCUUUCCAUUCAUAGACGCUAACUAACUUUAGCGCCUAUUGACUAUACUAACUUCUAGCCAGAGGAGCCCGGAUGCUUGCUCUAAACAUAAACAAGCAUCGCUUGCGGUACGGUGUUGGAAACAUAGGAACGUAUCUUUCAUAUCAGCUAGGAAUAAAUGUUAAAUUACUACACUUUUUUAAUAGGGUAAGGGUUCCCAAACGGUCAUAUUUCCGUUUUACCGCGUUUGUUUACGGAAGACAGACGCGACUACCUGCUAAUUCGCUUUCUGCGACUAGCAACACCUGCGUGUACACGGAAGAUAGACGCCACAAACGUGUCACUUUAAAAUAACCGGUUAACUGCAUUACGUGUAUAUUUAGCAUUUGUGAAAUUAUUUUGAUGUGGUAUGAAAGUAGAGGGCUUUAUGUUUCUAGAACCGUACCGCAGUGAAUAAUCGAUUCAUACUGGUUCGCCUGCCGGAGCCAAUUCGCCUCUAAACAGUAACGUUAGGCUCCUUUUUAUUGAACAAUAGCUACCCCAUAUGUUAAUAUGUAUGUUACACGUAAUGUGGMCUUCCUUUGAUUCCAUGUGUCCCUCAUUGGGUGUUUGUGAUUGCUUUCAUUCAUUGUCCUUAGAAAUUAUAGAUAUUAAACCAUCAAUAAAUCCACCUAUUGAUUUACAA
Salvelinus sp. IW2-2015 is the source of this 1106-nucleotide non-coding RNA. The record is from RefSeq and is a predicted model, not a curated record. NCBI's taxonomy places the organism in Eukaryota, Metazoa, Chordata, Actinopteri, Salmoniformes, Salmonidae.